Molecule: ribosomal RNA, 1372 nt
Filed under: uncultured bacterium
Lineage: Bacteria
Description: bacterial SSU rRNA
Rfam family: Bacterial small subunit ribosomal RNA
Source: RNAcentral
AGAGUUUGAUCCUGGCUCAGGAUGAACGCUGGCGGCGUGCCUAACACAUGCAAGUCGAACGGGACUUGCCCCUUCGGGGACAAGUUUAGUGGCGGACGGGUGAGUAACGCGUGAGCAACCUACCUUUCAGUGGGGGACAACAGUUGGAAACGACUGCUAAUACCGCAUAACACUUAUUUAGGGCAUCUUAAAUAAGUCAAAGAUUUAUUGCUGGAAGAUGGGCUCGCGUCUGAUUAGCUAGUUGGUGGGGUAACGGCCUACCAAGUCGACGAUCAGUAGCCGGACUGAGAGGUUGAACGGCCACAUUGGGACUGAGACACGGCCCAGACUCCUACGGGAGGCAGCAGUGGGGGAUAUUGCGCAAUGGGGGAAACCCUGACGCAGCAACGCCGCGUGAAGGAAGAAGGUUUUCGGAUUGUAAACUUCUUUUGUCAGGGACGAAUAGAUGACGGUACCUGACGAAUAAGCUCCGGCUAACUACGUGCCAGCAGCCGCGGUAAUACGUAGGGAGCGAGCGUUGUCCGGAAUUACUGGGUGUAAAGGGUGCGUAGGCGGCAGAGCAAGUCAGAUGUGAAAUACACGGGCUUAACCCGUGGGCUGCAUUUGAAACUGUUCAGCUUGAGUGAAGCAGAGGCAGGCGGAAUUCCCGGUGUAGCGGUGAAAUGCGUAGAGAUCGGGAGGAACACCAGUGGCGAAGGCGGCCUGCUGGGCUUUAACUGACGCUGAGGCACGAAAGUGUGGGUAGCAAACAGGAUUAGAUACCCUGGUAGUCCACACUGUAAACGAUGAAUACUAGGUGUGGGAGGACUGACCCCUUCCGUGCCGCAGUUAACACAAUAAGUAUUCCACCUGGGGAGUACGACCGCAAGGUUGAAACUCAAAGGAAUUGACGGGGGCCCGCACAAGCAGUGGAUUAUGUGGUUUAAUUCGACGCAACGCGAAGAACCUUACCAGGAUUUGACAUCCAACUAACGAAGUAGAGAUACAUCAGGUACCCUUCGGGGGAAGUUGAGACAGGUGGUGCAUGGUUGUCGUCAGCUCGUGUCGUGAGAUGUUGGGUUAAGUCCCGCAACGAGCGCAACCCUUAUGGUCAGUUACUACGCAAGAGGACUCUGGCCAGACUGCCGUUGACAAAACGGAGGAAGGUGGGGAUGACGUCAAAUCAGCACGGCCCUUACGUCCGGGGCUACACACGUGUUACAAUGGCAGGUACAGAGAGACGGUCCCUUGCAAAAUGGAUCAAAUCCUUAAAGCCUGUCUCAGUUCGGACUGGGGUCUGCAACCCGACCCCACGAAGCUGGAUUCGCUAGUAAUCGCGCAUCAGCCAUGGCGCGGUGAAUACGUUCCCGGGCCUUGCACACACCGCCCGUCA